CCGGCACCACCGACACUACUCUGAUGUUGACCCGCAUAGAUGCAGGAGGGCAGCUCAGUGAUAAGAUCAUCGUCAAAGUUAUGAGAUUUCUCAAGAUUUCCGAUAUAUUCACAACUUCUCACCUUAUGGGGGGCGAUGAGGACGAAUCUGUUUAAAUGUAUAAUGAGAACAUCUCAUGGGAAUUCUGCGUCUUUUAUAGCACCGCCGGUCCAAUUGGAAAUACCACAGUC
This is a long non-coding RNA of Drosophila novamexicana, 230 nucleotides long. RefSeq lists it as uncharacterized. The record is from RefSeq and is a predicted model, not a curated record. The transcript is spliced from 3 exons. Lineage: Eukaryota; Metazoa; Arthropoda; Insecta; Diptera; Drosophilidae.